This is a long non-coding RNA of Aedes aegypti (yellow fever mosquito), 884 nucleotides long. RefSeq lists it as uncharacterized. The record is from RefSeq and is a predicted model, not a curated record. Lineage: Eukaryota; Metazoa; Arthropoda; Insecta; Diptera; Culicidae. The transcript has 2 exons.
UGUAAAUAUUACAUAUUCCCAACAUAAUGAAAAAAACUUAAUUCAAUUUUUGUGUAAUUUCAGAAUGAUGUAAUAUAACAUCGAACCGGUGUGAUUGUGUAUCUGGAAAACACGAUUACAUCGGAAUUUUUUUACAUCAACGGUAUUACAUCGAGCCAAAUUACAUUAUUUUUUGCUGUGUACGUAACCAUGGCAACAAGUGAAUUCGGCACCGCCUAAACGUCAAAUUAGUGAACUCGUGCAUCGGUCCAUAUUUGAACGGCCCCGAAGCAUCACUCAGAAAUCUCGCGUAACAUCAGGGGGUGGGAAACUCGGCUCACUUGAAAUUGUGCCGAAAUGUGCCGACUGUGCGAGAGUGAGCGUGAGCGAUCGAUGUCACAUUUGUCUGGUUGCACUGCAAAAACUGGCAACUGUGAAGGUUUCAUGACAGAUUGUUUUUGUUUAUUUUUGAAAACUUCGAGAUCACCUACUGCAGUCUGAUCAGAUUGAGAGCUAAAGUUUUCACACGACGGAAGCCGCCAAUUAAAUUUCUUGUCCGAUGGCAGAGGAAUCGAGGUGGAUUACUAUCGCUCAUUAGGAUGCCCAACAGAGCAAUGGAUAUUCAAGGGAUCUGAUCUGGAACUUUAUUGAGAACCCAUCUGCAUCUGUUCGAAAUUGAUAAUGCCACCGGUACCGAUGCUGAAGAAUGACCUGAUGAGGCUACUGGAUAUCACCAGCCAGGGAGUGGUCGAGUGAGACGAAAUGGUUUGCGACCGUGGCGUGCCGCUGCUGAUGCUUCUCAGUGGAAGUGAUUUUUGGAGCUAAGCGUGGAACAUUGCGGACACGAUUAUCAAUUCGCAUGCCAAAUACUUGCUACACAUUACAUGGUGAUGGAGAAGUGGCUU